RNAcentral lists this ribosomal RNA (497 nucleotides) under uncultured bacterium. RNAcentral's name for it is "partial 16S ribosomal RNA". It matches the Rfam family "Bacterial small subunit ribosomal RNA", at positions 28 to 507 of the family's 1533-position model. The record is from RNAcentral.
GAUGAACGCUGGCGGCGUGCCUAAUACAUGCAAGUCGAGCGAACAGACGAGGAGCUUGCUCCUCUGACGUUAGCGGCGGACGGGUGAGUAACACGUGGAUAACCUACCUAUAAGACUGGGAUAACUUCGGGAAACCGGAGCUAAUACCGGAUAAUAUAUUGAACCGCAUGGUUCAAUAGUGUAAGACGGUUUUGCUGUCACUUAUAGAUGGAUCCGCGCCGCAUUAGCUAGUUGGUAAGGUAACGGCUUACCAAGGCAACGAUGCGUAGCCGACCUGAGAGGGUGAUCGGCCACACUGGAACUGAGACACGGUCCAGACUCCUACGGGAGGCAGCAGUAGGGAAUCUUCCGCAAUGGGCGAAAGCUUGACGGAGCAACGCCGCGUGAGUGAUGAAGGUCUUCGGAUCGUAAAACUCUGUUAUUAGGGAAGAACAAAUGUGUAAGUAACUAUGCACGUCUUGACGGUACCUAGUCAGAAAGCCACGGCUAACUACGUG